This is a long non-coding RNA of Harpia harpyja (harpy eagle), 607 nucleotides long. RefSeq lists it as uncharacterized. NCBI's taxonomy places the organism in Eukaryota, Metazoa, Chordata, Aves, Accipitriformes, Accipitridae. The record is from RefSeq and is a predicted model, not a curated record. The transcript is spliced from 3 exons.
GCAGCUUGACCAUGGACAAUGAGUCCUCUGACAUCAUUCUCAAGAGCAAGACUGUAUAUACGUUAAGCUAGUGACAUCAUAUACUCAGAUGUCCAAAUGCUGCGUACAUGGGACAUUGCUGUGAAACCCCUCAUUAUAAAAAUUAAAAAGCCAGCAAGCUUCUGCGUGCUAUCCUUUAAGGAAGGAUUAUGAUCUCUGCAGUACAUCAUAUACUCUCACGGCUGGCUUCCUCUGUAAGUUGAGCUGCUGUUAUGAAAAGCUAAAAUUAAAAGACUUACAAGCUGUACUUCCAACCUGAAUAUGAAGCUGCAUACCUAUGUUGGCACUGGAAUAGGAAAACGCAGCAGUUCACUGUCCUUCCUCUGAAUCACCCCUGUUUCAUCUGAGCACGGCUGAGAGCAUGAUGUUGAUGAAAUGAUGUUCCUGCAAAGGAUGGGGUUUUUUUGCUUGGGACUUUGAUAGGAAUCUGAAUACCAUGGUCAUUACACUCUUCAUGGCAACAUUUCUAAGACUUCAUAAAGGAAAUAUUGGAGGUGGCAGAUGCUUUCCUCAAUUGUGAUUUACAUUGAGAAGAAAAUUAAAACCCUCACCGUAACAAUUAACUGAC